UGCCUAACACAUGCAAGUCGAGCGAUUUACUUCGGUAAAGAGCGGCGGACGGGUGAGUAACGCGUGGGUAACCUGCCCUGUACACAUGGAUAACAUACCGAAAGGUAUGCUAAUACGAGAUAAUAUGCUUUUAUCGCAUGGUAGAAGUAUCAAAGCUCCGGCGGUACAGGAUGGACCCGCGUCUGAUUAGCUAGUUGGUAAGGUAACGGCUUACCAAGGCGACGAUCAGUAGCCGACCUGAGAGGGUGAUCGGCCACAUUGGAACUGAGACACGGUCCAAACUCCUACGGGAGGCAGCAGUGGGGAAUAUUGCACAAUGGGCGAAAGCCUGAUGCAGCAACGCCGCGUGAGCGAUGAAGGCCUUCGGGUCGUAAAGCUCUGUCCUCAAGGAAGAUAAUGACGGUACUUGAGGAGGAAGCCCCGGCUAACUACGUGCCAGCAGCCGCGGUAAUACGUAGGGGGCUAGCGUUAUCCGGAAUUACUGGGCGUAAAGGGUGCGUAGGUGGUUUCUUAAGUCAGAGGUGAAAGGCUACGGCUCAACCGUAGUAAGCCUUUGAAACUGGGAAACUUGAGUGCAGGAGAGGAGAGUGGAAUUCCUAGUGUAGCGGUGAAAUGCGUAGAUAUUAGGAGGAACACCAGUUGCGAAGGCGGCUCUCUGGACUGUAACUGACACUGAGGCACGAAAGCGUGGGGAGCAAACAGGAUUAGAUAUCCUGGUAGUCCACGCCGUAAACGAUGAGUACUAGCUGUCGGAGGUUACCCCCUUCGGUGG
Molecule: ribosomal RNA, 772 nt
Filed under: uncultured Peptostreptococcus sp.
Lineage: Bacteria; Bacillati; Bacillota; Clostridia; Peptostreptococcales; Peptostreptococcaceae
Description: bacterial SSU rRNA
Rfam family: Bacterial small subunit ribosomal RNA
Source: RNAcentral